This 465-nucleotide ribosomal RNA is filed under the name uncultured bacterium. Its description in RNAcentral is "partial 16S ribosomal RNA". It matches the Rfam family "Bacterial small subunit ribosomal RNA", at positions 338 to 795 of the family's 1533-position model. The record is from RNAcentral.
CCUACGGGAGGCAGCAGUGGGGAAUAUUGCGCAAUGGGCGCAAGCCUGACGCAGCGACGCCGCGUGAGGGAUGAAGGUCUUCGGAUCGUAAACCUCUGUCAGCAGGGAAGAACGGUCACUGUGCUAAUCAGCAGUGAAUUGACGGUACCUGCAAAGGAAGCACCGGCUAACUCCGUGCCAGCAGCCGCGAUAAUACGGAGGGUGCGGGCGUUAAUCGGAAUUACUGGGCGUAAGGCGCUCGUAGGCGGUCUGUCAAGGCAAGGGUGAAAUGCCCGGGCUCAACGUGGGAACUGCCUUUGAAACUGGCAAACUGGGGUGUGUGCGAGGAUAGUGGAAUUCCAGGUGUAGGAGUGAAAUCCGUAGAUAUCUGGAGGAACAUCAGUGGCGAAGGCGACUAUCUGGCACAUAACUGACGCUGAGGAGCGAAAGCGUGGGUAGCAAACAGGAUUAGAUACCCGGGUAGUC